UGGUGGAGUGAUUUGUCUGGUCAAUUCCGUUAACGAACGAGACCUUAACCUGCUAAAUAGUUACAUGUAACCUCGGUUACAUGGGCAACUUCUUAGAGGGACUUUCCGUGUCUAACGCAAGGAAGUUUGAGGCAAUAACA
This 140-nucleotide ribosomal RNA is filed under the name uncultured eukaryote. RNAcentral's name for it is "partial 18S ribosomal RNA". It matches the Rfam family "Eukaryotic small subunit ribosomal RNA", at positions 1299 to 1458 of the family's 1831-position model. The record is from RNAcentral.